GGGUGAGUAACGCGUAUCCAACCUGCCCACCACUUGGGGAUAACCUUGCGAAAGUAAGACUAAUACCCAAUGAUAUCUCUAGAAGACAUCUGAAAGAGAUUAAAGAUUUAUCGGUGAUGGAUGGGGAUGCGUCUGAUUAGCUUGUUGGCGGGGUAACGGCCCACCAAGGCAACGAUCAGUAGGGGUUCUGAGAGGAAGGUCCCCCACAUUGGAACUGAGACACGGUCCAAACUCCUACGGGAGGCAGCAGUGAGGAAUAUUGGUCAAUGGACGAGAGUCUGAACCAGCCAAGUAGCGUGCAGGAAGACGGCCCUAUGGGUUGUAAACUGCUUUUAUAAGGGAAUAAAGUUAGUCUCGUGAGACUUUUUGCAUGUACCUUAUGAAUAAGGACCGGCUAAUUCCGUGCCAGCAGCCGCGGUAAUACGGAAGGUCCGGGCGUUAUCCGGAUUUAUUGGGUUUAAAGGGAGCGUAGGCCGGAGAUUAAGCGUGUUGUGAAAUGUAGACGCUCAACGUCUGCACUGCAGCGCGAACUGGUUUCCUUGAGUACGCACAAAGUGGGCGGAAUUCGUGGUGUAGCGGUGAAAUGCUUAGAUAUCACGAAGAACUCCGAUUGCGAAGGCAGCUCACUGGAGCGCAACUGACGCUGAAGCUCGAAAGUGCGGGUAUCGAACAGGAUUAGAUACCCUGGUAGUCCGCACGGUAAACGAUGGAUGCCCGCUGUUGGUCUGAAUAGGUCAGCGGCCAAG
This 746-nucleotide ribosomal RNA is filed under the name uncultured bacterium. RNAcentral describes it as "bacterial SSU rRNA". It matches the Rfam family "Bacterial small subunit ribosomal RNA", at positions 104 to 851 of the family's 1533-position model. The record is from RNAcentral.